Molecule: ribosomal RNA, 426 nt
Filed under: uncultured bacterium
Lineage: Bacteria
Description: bacterial SSU rRNA
Rfam family: Bacterial small subunit ribosomal RNA
Source: RNAcentral
UGGGGAAUUUUGGACAAUGGGGGCAACCCUGAUCCAGCAAUGCCGCGUGAGUGAAGAAGGCCUUCGGGUUGUAAAGCACUUUUGGCAGGGAAGAAACGGCGCCGGCUAAUACCGGGCGCAACUGACGGUACCUGCAGAAUAAGCACCGGCUAACUACGUGCCAGCAGCCGCGGUAAUACGUAGGGUGCAAGCGUUAAUCGGAAUUACUGGGCGUAAAGCGUGCGCAGGCGGUUGUGCAAGACCGAUGUGAAAUCCCCGGGCUUAACCUGGGAAUGGCAUUGGUGACUGCACGGCUAGAGUGUGUCAGAGGGGGGUAGAAUUCCACGUGUAGCAGUGAAAUGCGUAGAGAUGUGGAGGAAUACCGAUGGCGAAGGCAGCCCCCUGGGAUAACACUGACGCUCAUGCACGAAAGCGUGGGGAGCAAAC